GAUGAACGCUGACAGAAUGCUUAACACAUGCCAGUCUUUGGCGAAGCUGUGCUCGCACAGCCUAGCCAAGGCGGACGGGUGAGUAACGCGUAAGGAACUUGCCCUGCAGUCAGGGAUAACAGACGGAAACGACUGAUAAGACCUGGUAAAGUCAGGCGGACUCAUGUCCAGCCUGAUGAAAAGAGAUGCUGCAGGAGAGCCUUGCGUCCUAUUAGCUUGUUGGUGGGGUAACGGCCCACCAAGGCGAUGAUAGGUAGCCGGCCUGAGAGGGUGGACGGCCACAAGGGGACUGAGAUACGGCCCUUACUCCUACGGGAGGCAGCAGUGGGGAAUAUUGGACAAUGGGGGCAACCCUGAUCCAGCAAUUCUGUGUGCACGAUGAAGGUUUUCGGAUUGUAAAGUGCUUUCAGCAGGGAAGAAAAAAAUGACGGUACCUGCAGAAGAAGCGACGGCUAAAUACGUG
This 463-nucleotide ribosomal RNA is filed under the name uncultured bacterium. RNAcentral describes it as "partial 16S ribosomal RNA". It matches the Rfam family "Bacterial small subunit ribosomal RNA", at positions 28 to 507 of the family's 1533-position model. The record is from RNAcentral.